AUUGAACGCUGGCGGCAUGCUUUACACAUGCAAGUCGAACGGCAGCGCGGGCUUCGGCCUGGCGGCGAGUGGCGAACGGGUGAGUAAUGCAUCGGAACGUGCCCAGUAGUGGGGGAUAGCCCGGCGAAAGCCGGAUUAAUACCGCAUACGACCUGAGGGUGAAAGCGGGGGCCCAAAAGGCACCGGCGGUUUGGCCGGCCCGAUGUCGGAUAAGCUAGUUGGUGGGGUAAGGGCUUACCAAGGCGACGUUCCGUAGCUGGUCUGAGAGGACGACCAGCCACACUGGGACUGAGACACGGCCCAGACUCCUACGGGAGGCAGCAGUGGGGAAUUUUGGACAAUGGGGGCAACCCUGAUCCAGCCAUGCCGCGUGCGGGAAGAAGGCCUUCGGGUUGUAAACCGCUUUUGUUCGGGAAGAAAUCCUCUGGGCUAAUACCCCGGGGGGAUGACGGUACCGGAAGAAUAAGCACCGGCUAACUACGUG
This 484-nucleotide ribosomal RNA is filed under the name uncultured bacterium. Its description in RNAcentral is "partial 16S ribosomal RNA". It matches the Rfam family "Bacterial small subunit ribosomal RNA", at positions 28 to 507 of the family's 1533-position model. The record is from RNAcentral.